This 481-nucleotide ribosomal RNA is filed under the name uncultured bacterium. RNAcentral's name for it is "partial 16S ribosomal RNA". It matches the Rfam family "Bacterial small subunit ribosomal RNA", at positions 28 to 506 of the family's 1533-position model. The record is from RNAcentral.
GACGAACGCUGGCGGCGUGCUUAACACAUGCAAGUCGAACGAUGAAGAAGAGAAACGCGAACUUCGGUUCAAAUUUCACUUCGGAUUAGUGGCAGACGGGUGAGUAACGCGUGAGCAACCUACCUCUUACAAAGGGAUAGCCUCGGGAAACCGUGAUUAAUACCAUAUGACACAUUCAUAAGGCAUCUUAAGAAUGUUAAAGCUACGGCGGUAAGAGAUGGGCUCGCGUCCCAUUAGCUAGUUGGUGAGGUAACGGCCCACCAAGGCGACGAUGGGUAACCGGCCUGAGAGGGGGAACGGUCACAUUGGAACGGGGACACGGUCCAAACCCCUACGGGAGGCAGCAGUGGGGAAAAUGGCAAAAGGGGGGGAACUCUGAGGCAGCGACGCCGGGUGAGGGAUGAAGGAAUUCGUUUCGUAAAGCUCUGUUCAAGGGGAAGAAAAGGACUGUACCAAAGGAAAAAGCCCCGGCUAAAUACGG